Molecule: long non-coding RNA, 352 nt
Organism: Asterias rubens (European starfish)
Lineage: Eukaryota; Metazoa; Echinodermata; Asteroidea; Forcipulatida; Asteriidae
Exons: 4
Source: RefSeq, a predicted model, not a curated record
GUCGACAAGAUCUCCGGUUUUUCACUCCAUUCUUUUCGGUAAAUUUCUCCGUUUUAUCGAAACAGUUCCGGGCAAAAAGCAUUUUGAAAUUUUUAUGUUUUUGGUCAGCCAUCAUCAUGAAGAUGUCAAGAGAUCAAAGUAACAAAGCUCAUAAUGAUCUGAAUAUGAUGUAGGCCUACAACUUAAAGUUUUUGUCCGCCAUGAUCAUGAAGAUGUCAAGAGAUCACCAGUAACAAAGCUCAUAAUGAUCUGAUUAUGAUGUAGGCCUACAACUAAAAUGAUGCAAUUUUGAGAUCACGAGUAACAAAGCUCAUUAUGAUCUGAUAAUAGUGUAGGCCUACGACUAAAAAGG